AUACGAAGGUCCCAAGCGUUAUUCGGAAUCACUGGGCGUAAAGAGUACGUAGGCGGUUUGGUAAGUCAGGUGUGAAAUCCCGGAGCUCAACUCCGGAACUGCAUCCGAUACUGCCAGACUUGAGUAAUGGAGAGGCAGGUGGAAUUCUCGGUGGAGCAGUGAAAUGCGUGGAUAUCGAGAGGAAGACCAAUGGCGAAGGCAGCCUGCUGGACAUUUACUGACGCUGAGGUACGAAGGCUAGGGGAGCGAAAGGGAUUAGAAACCCCGGUAGUCC
This 274-nucleotide ribosomal RNA is filed under the name uncultured bacterium. RNAcentral describes it as "partial 16S ribosomal RNA". It matches the Rfam family "Bacterial small subunit ribosomal RNA", at positions 523 to 796 of the family's 1533-position model. The record is from RNAcentral.